AUCAAAAGAAGAAGCAGCGGCACGAUUUUGCUUGUCUCCGUCGGAUCUGGACCAGAUACCUGCACCGUAAAAAUACUAAGAAAAUGAUGGCAUAAGAAGACUACCCAGCAAUAGAAAAGCAAACUAAAUGUAGACGACUGUAGUGUUUAUUGUUAAGAUUCAUUUAACAGGUAUUUCCCGACCAUCAUGUAAAUGAAUUGCAAGAAUUUUUUCCUGAUAUUUAAUGUAGAAAGCUAACGUUAAAUUAUAUGUUGUGCCAUGAACUUAUUACAAUUUCCUUGAUGUACCUGUAUCAUGCGAUCCAUGAGAUUCAUGGCCUAGUGAUCACUAACCAUGCCAGUCAUCUGCUCCUGGGAGGUAACCCACCCAUUGCCAUUCCGUAACCCUCUGAAUGCAGUUUUUCUCCUCCUAGCAUUGACAUGGAGAUGAGCAUGAGUCAUAUUGUUGAAUUUCUUAAAUGGUUCAUGCUUAACUUUCCAACACAAAACGAAGAAAAGAUAUAUUUGUAAAAUUGUGAAAUAAACAUGCUGGCCAACACUAUAGAUAAUACUACCAUGGUAGCCAGGAAUCAUAAUACUACCAUGGCAGACAGUUCACGUUUUGUUGAGUACAUACAUGAUACUACCAGGUCAGAACCUACAGAAGCAGGAUCAUUGAUUUAUACUAUUCAAAAACACUAACAACAAUCGCAACCCGAAAAUUAAGUGGCUUGAAACUGGCAACCCAACCCAUGAAUAAAGCGGCAUCGAUCUGGAACGUAGGACAAACCGUGCCUUGCAGAUGUAGUUUCAGCAUAGAUAAGCAUAAGUAGCAUAUAUUGAAAAAGUAUUAAAAAAGGCUUGUGUUCAGUUGGACAUGAAUAGCCUCAUGAUUCCUGAGUCAGAUGAACAAAGAGAAAUCAAACCAGCACGAGGAUAGGAGAUCCCACAUUGCCCAAUUUCUACAAUCGGCAUCACCACACUUGUAAACAAGAUAACAGAUCUACUAAUUCCAGCGCAUCAAUUUCUACAUAAACAAAAUUACCACAUAAUGAGAUCCAUGUCACUGGAGUUAAAUUACGCAAAUUUGCAUAACACUCACGGGUAGAGGAUAGCCAUCAGUCGUAGUAGUAUUGGAGGUUGUGGCCGUACUUGCUUAUGUUUCUGUAUGAAUAGUUAGGAUCAACGACAGAAACAAGUCAGGCAGACGAGUCGACGACUGAACAAAAAAAACUGUAAUUGUUGAAAAAAUUGCUUCUACCAAGUUCUACUCCCUCCAUUCCUAAAUAUAGGUCUUCUUAGUGAUUUGAAUAUGGACUACAUACGGAUAAAUGUAGACAUAUUCUAGAGUGUAGAUUCACUCAUUUUUCUUCGUAUGCAGUCCAUAUUAGAAUUCCUAAAAAGACAUAUUUAGAAACGAAGGGAGUAGCAUGUUAGCCAAAAUCUUGUUACAUGAGAAACACUAAUAACUGGGUCAAAUUUAUGGGAAAAUGACUUCAACAAAUGCUUCUCAAUCAAAAGGUUGGAGAUCUUCCACCCCUUCGCCGACGCCAACAAACUUGGCUGGAACUCCAACUUCGUCUAUGAACACUCACCUGAGACAGGAUUCAGGUCAGCAAGUUUAGUUGUCGUAUAUUUAAGAUCCAGGACUGGAAUUUGUAUCUGUUACAAUAAAGGACUGGAAAUC
Molecule: long non-coding RNA, 1665 nt
Filed under: Triticum aestivum (bread wheat)
Lineage: Eukaryota; Viridiplantae; Streptophyta; Magnoliopsida; Poales; Poaceae
Description: long non-coding RNA (TAES_LNC025520)
Source: RNAcentral